GAUGAACGCUGGCGGCGUGCCUAAUACAUGCAAGUCGAGCGAACAGACGAGGAGCUUUCUCCUCUGACGUUAGCGGCGGACGGGUGAGUAACACGUGGAUAACCUACCUAUAAGACUGGGAUAACUUCGGGAAACCGGAGCUAAUACCGGAUAAUAUAUUGAACCGCAUGGUUCAAUAGUGAAAGACGGUUUUGCUGUCACUUAUAGAUGGAUCCGCGCCGCAUUAGCUAGUUGGUAAGGUAACGGCUUACCCAGGCAACGAUGCGUAGCCGACCUGAGAGGGUGAUCGGCCACACUGGAACUGAGACACGGUCCAGACUCCUACGGGAGGCAGCAGUAGGGAAUCUUCCGCAAUGGGCGAAAGCCUGACGGAGCAACGCCGCGUGAGUGAUGAAGGUCUUCGGAUCGUAAAACUCUGUUAUUAGGGAAGAACAAAUGUGUAAGUAACUAUGCACGUCUUGACGGUACCUAAUCAGAAAGCCACGGCUAACUCCGUG
Molecule: ribosomal RNA, 497 nt
Filed under: uncultured bacterium
Lineage: Bacteria
Description: partial 16S ribosomal RNA
Rfam family: Bacterial small subunit ribosomal RNA
Source: RNAcentral